AACGAACGCUGGCGGCAUGCCUAACACAUGCAAGUCGAACGCUCCGCAAGGGGAGUGGCGAACGGGUGAGUAACGCGUGGGAACCUGCCCAGUAGUUGGGGAUAACCGCGGGAAACUGCGGCUAAUACCGAAUACGCCCUAAGGGGAAGGAUUAUCGCUAUUGGAGGGGCCGCGUCGGAUUAGCUGGUUGGUGAGGUAACGGCUCACCAAGGCGACGAUCCGUAGCUGGUCUGAGAGGANGAUCAGCCACACUGGGACUUAGACACGGCCCAGACUCCUACGGGAGGCAGCAGUGGGGAAGU
RNAcentral lists this ribosomal RNA (302 nucleotides) under uncultured bacterium. Its description in RNAcentral is "bacterial SSU rRNA". It matches the Rfam family "Bacterial small subunit ribosomal RNA", at positions 29 to 363 of the family's 1533-position model. The record is from RNAcentral.